Molecule: ribosomal RNA, 253 nt
Filed under: uncultured bacterium
Lineage: Bacteria
Description: partial 16S ribosomal RNA
Rfam family: Bacterial small subunit ribosomal RNA
Source: RNAcentral
UACGUAGGGCGCAAGCGUUGUCCGGAAUUAUUGGGCGUAAAGAGCUCGUAGGCGGUUUGUCGCGUCUGUCGUGAAAGCCCACGGCUUAACUGUGGGUCUGCGGUGGAUACGGGCAGACUAGAGGCAGGUAGGGGAGAAUGGAAUUCCCGGUGUAGCGGUGAAAUGCGCAGAUAUCGGGAGGAACACCUGUGGCGAAGGCGGCCCCCUGGUUGGAUACUGACGCUUAUACGCGAAAGCGUGGGGAGCAAACAGG